Galeopterus variegatus (Sunda flying lemur) is the source of this 1148-nucleotide long non-coding RNA. RefSeq lists it as uncharacterized. The transcript is spliced from 2 exons. The record is from RefSeq and is a predicted model, not a curated record. Lineage: Eukaryota; Metazoa; Chordata; Mammalia; Dermoptera; Cynocephalidae.
UUAAGCGGAUGAAGAAAUCAGUGAAAAAAUACAGUAUUGAAGGAAAGUGGAGUCGUCAGAGAUGAAGUAACUUGCCGAGGUCACAACUAGCAGGUGUUGGCACCAGGACCCAAACCCCAUCAGUGUGGUUCUGAAGAUCAGACUCUGAGGUACUGUCUGCACUGACUGCCUCUCAGUCUACUCAGUGUCCACUGCAUGCAGAGCACUGAGCCAGGUAGCAAGGAAAGGAAGGAAUAGAGGACAUCCAUACCCCAGCGACUGCUGGCUCAGGCAGAACCUCUCCUCUCUCUCAGGCUUGUUCGGCUCCCUGCUUUGUGUGCUCACUGGUUCCUGUACAGCCUUUUAUCAAAGCACCGCAUUGUCUUUGAAACUUUGUCUUUCUUACUAGCAUGUCAUCUAGGCUUAAUCAUCUCCAUAUCACCAACGACUAACAAAAUUUCUAGUUUAUUAAAUAAUUAACUGAGUUGCACUGAAAGAAAAGUUAUGAAAGUUAUUGACCAAGUGUGCCUAUCCCAUAGGAAGUAAUAUCUUGGCAAGUUUAUGCCAAGAGUAGGGCCUUGGGAAACUGCUGGGUUUGGAUCCUGGGUUUAACAUUUGGUGUUACUGUGACUUCCUGAGCUCUCUUAGUUUAUUCAUCUGUAGAAUGGAGACAAUAGGAUUUAUCUGACUGGAUUUCUAUGAAGAGUAAAAGAUGCCCUGCCCCUGCCUGCAACCAGGCAAGCCAGGGAGCAUGCCCGGGGUCCUGAGGCCAGGACUGUGGGCCACCCCACCCCUGCCCGCAAGAAUAUCUUAGAAUGCAUUUAUUAGCCAUUUGUGUUUCUUUGUGGGGGGUGUGACUUGUCUGCUCAUGUCCUUCGCCAAGUUUCUGUUAAGAUUUUUCUAAUUCAUUUUAAAGAAUUCUUUUUGCAUUAGGGAUGUUAAUCUUUGUUAAAGUUGUUCCUUAUAAAUUGACUUUAAAUUCAAUUUUUGAUGUUUUCCUUCAUUUGUAUGUUGAGAAAAUAAUUUUCUAUCUAGACAUUAAAUUAAAGAAUAAAAGAAAUAAUGCCUAGGAUAAUAAUGAAUAAUAAGUGUUAACUACUAAGUAACCAUCCAUCAUGACUACUUUAAGACACUUUAAAUGGAACUAAAUAAAGAGAAUUUAAAGUCCU